This 977-nucleotide ribosomal RNA is filed under the name uncultured bacterium. Its description in RNAcentral is "bacterial SSU rRNA". It matches the Rfam family "Bacterial small subunit ribosomal RNA", at positions 57 to 1001 of the family's 1533-position model. The record is from RNAcentral.
GCAGUCGAGCGACUGAUUAGAAGCUUGCUUCUAUGACGUUAGCGGCGGACGGGUGAGUAACACGUGGGCAACCUGCCUGUAAGACUGGGAUAACUUCGGGAAACCGAAGCUAAUACCGGAUAGGAUCUUCUCCUUCAUGGGAGAUGAUUGAAAGAUGGUUUCGGCUAUCACUUACAGAUGGGCCCGCGGUGCAUUAGCUAGUUGGUGAGGUAACGGCUCACCAAGGCAACGAUGCAUAGCCGACCUGAGAGGGUGAUCGGCCACACUGGGACUGAGACACGGCCCAGACUCCUACGGGAGGCAGCAGUAGGGAAUCUUCCGCAAUGGACGAAAGUCUGACGGAGCAACGCCGCGUGAGUGAUGAAGGCUUUCGGGUCGUAAAACUCUGUUGUUAGGGAAGAACAAGUACGAGAGUAACUGCUCGUACCUUGACGGUACCUAACCAGAAAGCCACGGCUAACUACGUGCCAGCAGCCGCGGUAAUACGUAGGUGGCAAGCGUUAUCCGGAAUUAUUGGGCGUAAAGCGCGCGCAGGCGGUUUCUUAAGUCUGAUGUGAAAGCCCACGGCUCAACCGUGGAGGGUCAUUGGAAACUGGGGAACUUGAGUGCAGAAGAGAAAAGCGGAAUUCCACGUGUAGCGGUGAAAUGCGUAGAGAUGUGGAGGAACACCAGUGGCGAAGGCGGCUUUUUGGUCUGUAACUGACGCUGAGGCGCGAAAGCGUGGGGGAGCAAACAGGAUUAGAUACCCGGGUAGUCCACGCCGUAAAACGAUGAGUGCUAAGUGUUAGAGGGUUUCCGCCCUUUUAGUGCUGCAGCCUAACGCAUUUAAGCACUCCGCCUGGGGAGUACGGUUCCCAAGACUGAAAACUCAAAGGAAUUUGACGGGGGGCCCCGCACCAACCGGUGGAGCAUGUGGUUUUAUUCGAAAGCAACGCCGAAAAAACCUUACCAGGGUCUUGACAUUCCUCUGACAACUU